GACAGAGGGUGCGAGCGUUGUCCGGAGUCACUGGGCGUAAAGCGCGCGCAGGCGGUGUCCUAAGAGUCGUGGGAAAGACCCCGGCUCAACUGGGGGAGGCCACGGCUGACUGGGUCGCUCGAGAUGCGGAGAGGCCCCUCGAAUUGCCGGUGUGGCGGUGAAAUGCGUAGAGAUCGGCAGGAAGACCAAGGGGGAAGACAGGGGGCUGGCGGCAUGCCGGCACUGAGGCGCGACAGCGUGGGGAGCAAACCGG
Molecule: ribosomal RNA, 253 nt
Filed under: uncultured bacterium
Lineage: Bacteria
Description: partial 16S ribosomal RNA
Rfam family: Bacterial small subunit ribosomal RNA
Source: RNAcentral